This 508-nucleotide ribosomal RNA is filed under the name uncultured bacterium. Its description in RNAcentral is "bacterial SSU rRNA". It matches the Rfam family "Bacterial small subunit ribosomal RNA", at positions 28 to 544 of the family's 1533-position model. The record is from RNAcentral.
GAUGAACGCUGGCGGCGUGCUUAACACAUGCAAGUCAAGGGGCCCAGCAAUGGGCAACCGGCGAACGGGUGCGUAACACGUGAGCAACCUACCGAACUGUGGGGGAUAGCCGGCCCAACGGCCGGGUAAUACCGCAUACGCUCGAGACGAGGCAUUUCGACUCGAGGAAAUCUACGGAGCAAUUCGAGGGGCUCGCGGCCUAUCAGCUAGUUGGUGAGGUAACGGCUCACCAAGGCGACGACGGGUAGCUGGUCUGAGAGGAUGGCCAGCCACAUUGGGACUGAGAUACGGCCCAGACUCCUACGGGAGGCAGCAGUGGGAAUCUUGCGCAAUGGCCUAACGGCUGACGCAGCGACGCCGCGUGAGGGAUGACGCUCUUCGGAGUGUAAACCUCUUUUGCCCGGGGACGAACUGCCCAGGAUUUCUCUGGCUUGACGGUACCGGGUGAAUAAGCAUCGGCUAACUCCGUGCCAGCAGCCGCGGUAAUACGGGGGGCUGCGAGCGUUGU